This 375-nucleotide RNase P RNA is filed under the name Brevundimonas goettingensis. RNAcentral describes it as "Bacterial RNase P class A". It matches the Rfam family "Bacterial RNase P class A". From Rfam's summary of the family: Ribonuclease P (RNase P) is a ubiquitous endoribonuclease, found in archaea, bacteria and eukarya as well as chloroplasts and mitochondria. Lineage: Bacteria; Pseudomonadati; Pseudomonadota; Alphaproteobacteria; Caulobacterales; Caulobacteraceae. The record is from Rfam by way of RNAcentral.
UCAGACGGCCGGGCGGUCGCGGCGAGGCUUGCCUCGUCGAGGAAAGUCCGGGCUCCACGGUGAAAAGGCGGCGGGUAACGCCCGCCCGGGGCGACCCGAGGGAUAGCGCCACAGAAAGCAAACCGCCUGCGUCGCGACGCAGGGAAGGGUGAAAGGGUGGGGUAAGAGCCCACCGCGGGACUGGCAACAGGACCGGCAUGGCAAGCCCCGCCUGGAGCAAGACCGAAUAGGGAUGUCGCGCGAGCUUGCUCGCAGGGUCACCGCCCGAGGCAUCCGGGUAGGUCGCGAGAACCGUCCAGCAAUGGGCGGUCCAGAGGAAUGAUCGUCACUCGUUUUCGGACGAGACAGAACCCGGCUUACAGGCCGUCUGACUUU